ACAACGGUGGAGCCUGCGGUUAAUUGGACUCAACGCCGGGCAGCUCACCGGAUAAGACAGCUGGAUGAUAGCCGGGCUGAAGACUCUGCUUGACUAGCUGAGAGGAGGUGCAUGGCCGUCGUCAGUUCGUACUGUGAAGCAUCCUGUUAAGUCAGGCAACGAGCGAGACCCACGCCAACAGUUGCCAGCAUGUCCUCCGGGAUGAUGGGGACACUGUUGGGACCGCCUCUGCUAAAGAGGAGGAAGGAAUGGGCAACGGUAGGUCAGCAUGCCCCGAAUUAUCCGGGCUACACGCGGGCUACAAUGGUCAGGACAAUGGGUAUCGACACCGAGAGGUGGAGGCAAUCUCCUAAACCUGUCCUUAGUUCGGAUUGUGGGCUGCAACUCGCCCACAUGAAGCUGGAAUCCGUAGUAAUCGCGUUUCAAAAUAGCGCGGUGAAUAUGUCCCUGCUCCUU
RNAcentral lists this ribosomal RNA (456 nucleotides) under uncultured Methanolinea sp. Its description in RNAcentral is "bacterial SSU rRNA". It matches the Rfam family "Archaeal small subunit ribosomal RNA", at positions 881 to 1338 of the family's 1478-position model. Lineage: Archaea; Methanobacteriati; Methanobacteriota; Methanomicrobia; Methanomicrobiales; Methanoregulaceae. The record is from RNAcentral.